GCGGACGUGGCGAAAUGGUAGACGCAAGGGACUUAAAAUCCCUCGGCCGAAAGGCUGUGCGGGUUCAAGUCCCGCCGUCCGCACCA
RNAcentral lists this transfer RNA (86 nucleotides) under Anderseniella sp. Its description in RNAcentral is "tRNA-Leu". It matches the Rfam family "tRNA". Rfam says of the family: Transfer RNA (tRNA) molecules are approximately 80 nucleotides in length. Lineage: Bacteria; Pseudomonadati; Pseudomonadota; Alphaproteobacteria; Hyphomicrobiales; Parvibaculaceae. The record is from RNAcentral. RNAcentral also lists the same sequence under 4 other names.